GCAUGAUGAAUAAUCCAUGACUAAAAUUUCGGGAACUAUUAACUAAGUUUCCAUAGCCUUGACUAAUUUCACAAUUCACCCAAGAAAAUGAGUGGAAUCUUCUAAUCGUUUUGGAACAAACUGCAAAGAGAAAAAAUAGGGUUAAAAGUGGAAAUGCAAAUGAUGGCAAUUUUAAAUCAUGUGACACGAUAGUAUUUUCUGGUGCUUCAAAUGAUCAUUUUUAUCCUUUUUUUCAGUCUUUAAAUGGUUUUGCUCUGGUGGUGAGUGCCGAAGGAAUGAUAUUUUAUGCAUCAUCAACUAUUGUGGACUAUCUGGGCUUUCAUCAGUGUCUUAUCAACCUGUUCUAUCUCCCCUCUGCACACCAGGAAUCCAUCAGCACUCUAGGAUGGAACUCAUGGUAUCCUAAGGACCCUAAAAUGCAGAAGUGGGUGGUGUGCUUCUGUCUGUGUAUAUGGGUGGAUGUGUACAUAGUUUUGUGUGUCUCUUCACCUGUUCAUGCGCAUCAGGGCGUGAGGAGGGAUGUGUGUCACUUUGGCUAUGUUUGCCUGUGUGUGCGUCUCAGAGAGAGUAGGAUGUGAAAGAUGAUAAAGAGAGAUGAGUAGGGUAGAAUCCAGUGAAGAUGACAAUGAU
Molecule: long non-coding RNA, 630 nt
Filed under: Ornithorhynchus anatinus (platypus)
Lineage: Eukaryota; Metazoa; Chordata; Mammalia; Monotremata; Ornithorhynchidae
Description: lncRNA (ENSOANG00000049003.1)
Source: RNAcentral